This 490-nucleotide ribosomal RNA is filed under the name uncultured bacterium. RNAcentral describes it as "partial 16S ribosomal RNA". It matches the Rfam family "Bacterial small subunit ribosomal RNA", at positions 30 to 507 of the family's 1533-position model. The record is from RNAcentral.
AUUGAACGCUGGCGGCAGGCCUAACACAUGCAAGUCGAACGGUAACAGGAAGAAGCUUGCUUAUUUGCUGACGAGUGGCGGACGGGUGAGUAAUGUCUGGGAAACUGCCUGAUGGAGGGGGAUAACUACUGGAAACGGUAGCUAAUACCGCAUAAUGUCGCAAGACCAAAGAGGGGGACCUUCGGGCCUCUUGCCAUCGGAUGUGCCCAGAUGGGAUUAGCUAGUAGGUGGGGUAACGGCUCACCUAGGCGACGAUCCCUAGCUGGUCUGAGAGGAUGACGAGCCACACUGGAACUGAGACACGGUCCAGACUCCUACGGGAGGCAGCAGUGGGGAAUAUUGCACAAUGGGCGCAAGCCUGAUGCAGCUAUGCCGCGUGUAUGAAGAAGGCCUUCGGGUUGUAAAGUACUUUCAGCGGUGAGGAAGGGAGUAAAGUUAAUACCUUUGCUCAUUGACGUUACCCGCAGAAGAAGCACCGGCUAACUCCGUG